This 30-nucleotide non-coding RNA is filed under the name Mus musculus (house mouse). The record is from RNAcentral. Lineage: Eukaryota; Metazoa; Chordata; Mammalia; Rodentia; Muridae.
UAUCUGGGAAACCUGGACACAGGUGUUGCA